GAUGAACGCUGGCGGCGUGCCUAAUACAUGCAAGUCGAGCGAACGGACGAGAAGCUUGCUUCUCUGAUGUUAGCGGCGGACGGGUGAGUAACACGUGGAUAACCUACCUAUAAGACUGGGAUAACUUCGGGAAACCGGAGCUAAUACCGGAUAAUAUUUUGAACCGCAUGGUUCAAAAGUGAAAGACGGUCUUGCUGUCACUUAUAGAUGGAUCCGCGCUGCAUUAGCUAGUUGGUAAGGUAACGGCUUACCAAGGCAACGAUGCAUAGCCGACCUGAGAGGGUGAUCGGCCACACUGGAACUGAGACACGGUCCAGACUCCUACGGGAGGCAGCAGUAGGGAAUCUUCCGCAAUGGGCGAAAGCCUGACGGAGCAACGCCGCGUGAGUGAUGAAGGUCUUCGGAUCGUAAAACUCUGUUAUUAGGGAAGAAAAUAUGUGUAAGUAACUGUGCACGUCUUGACGGUACCUAAUCAGAAAGCCACGGCUAACUACGUG
This 497-nucleotide ribosomal RNA is filed under the name uncultured bacterium. RNAcentral's name for it is "partial 16S ribosomal RNA". It matches the Rfam family "Bacterial small subunit ribosomal RNA", at positions 28 to 507 of the family's 1533-position model. The record is from RNAcentral.